This is a long non-coding RNA of Triticum dicoccoides, 807 nucleotides long. RefSeq lists it as uncharacterized. The record is from RefSeq and is a predicted model, not a curated record. Lineage: Eukaryota; Viridiplantae; Streptophyta; Magnoliopsida; Poales; Poaceae. The transcript has 3 exons.
AAUACAUCCUACCACCUAGUGGUAGUUACCACUGCCCCGCUGCCAUCAGAUUGCAUCAAGAUCCGAUCUCAUCUUAACGGGUUAUGGGUGGAGGCAAGGUGGAUUUAUUUGGACCCACUUAAUUAGUUUGCUGAGCCCCCGAUUUUCUUGGCCUAGCCGAUCGUUUUGGUCGUCUGUAUAUAUUUAAGAUUGGAUCUGGAGGCAUGCAAUCAAAAUAACCUCAUCUCUCUCUCCAACUAGAUCUCUACGUCCAGCGGAUAUUCAACAAAACGGCUAAAGGAAAAAGGCGGGACAUGGCUCCAAUGUUCUCCAGCGCCGGCCUCCGGCCAUGUCCUUCCCCAUCCCUGCCAACUGUAAUGACGUGUUUCAAGUAUGAAAUUGGAUCGAAAAGCAAUUUCUCAAUACCUAGGAGGCGCAGAAACUAACAGGCGACUAUCGGCAUGUCAGCCGCGACGAGAACAACGUACGGCUGCUGCAGGCGCGCAGAUGCAGCCCUACUUAGUUGCGACGGCAACGACGACGAAUGGCCGCAUGUCCACAAGUUCAGCGGUGCAAGGGCAACAUACGGCGCACGACGAUGGCGCCGCUAAUGAUGUACGGUGGCGGAGAUCAUGGGAACCUCCCAUUGAGAUCUUCCGAUGAUCCAUGCAUGGCAUCACGUCUGCAUCAUGUACAUGCAUGCCAUUAGGUGCCGUGUACUACUUCAUACUGAUCUGAUCGGAUGCAUUAGCUAGAUGUCUAUGUAGAUACACUGUUGUAAAUCACGUUCACGGUACUCCUAUAUGUAUACUCCAUACAUACUUCUUU